GAUGAACGCUGGCGGCGUGCCUAACACAUGCAAGUCGAACGGAGUCCAGCCUUAGAGACCUUCGGGUCAAAGAGGGGAAGACUGAGUGGCGGACGGGUGAGUAACACGUGGGCAACCUGGCUCAUAGAGGGGGAUAACAGAGAGAAAUUUCUGCUAAUACCGCAUAAGCACACACUGCCGCAUGGCAGAGUGUGAAAAGAGAAUCGCUAUGAGAUGGACCCGCGUCUGAUUAGCCAGUUGGCAGGGUAAGAGCCUACCAAAGCGACGAUCAGUAGCCGAUUUGAGAGGAUGAACGGCCACAUUGGGACUGAGACACGGCCCAAACUCCUACGGGAGGCAGCAGUGGGGGAUAUUGCACAAUGGGGGGAACCCUGAUGCAGCGACGCCGCGUGAGUGAAGAAGUAUUUCGGUAUGUAAAGCUCUAUCAGCAGGGAAGAUAAUGACAGUACCUAAAUAAGAAGCCCCGGCUAACUACGUG
This 478-nucleotide ribosomal RNA is filed under the name uncultured bacterium. Its description in RNAcentral is "partial 16S ribosomal RNA". It matches the Rfam family "Bacterial small subunit ribosomal RNA", at positions 28 to 507 of the family's 1533-position model. The record is from RNAcentral.